CAGCAGCCACGGUAAUACAGAGGGUGCAAGCGUUAAUCGGAAUUACUGGGCGUAAAGCGCGCGUAGGUGGUUUGUUAAGUUGGAUGUGAAAGCCCCGGGCUCAACCUGGGAACUGCAUCCAAAACUGGCAAGCUAGAGUACGGUAGAGGGUGGUGGAAUUUCCUGUGUAGCGGUGAAAUGCGUAGAUAUAGGAAGGAACACCAGUGGCGAAGGCGACCACCUGGACUGAUACUGACACUGAGGUGCGAAAGCGUGGGGAGCAAACAGGAUUAGAUACCCGGGUAGUCCCUGUCUCUUAUAA
This 301-nucleotide ribosomal RNA is filed under the name uncultured bacterium. RNAcentral's name for it is "partial 16S ribosomal RNA". It matches the Rfam family "Bacterial small subunit ribosomal RNA", at positions 509 to 809 of the family's 1533-position model. The record is from RNAcentral.